GACGAACGCUGGCGGCGUGCUUAACACAUGCAAGUCGAGCGGAAAGGCCCUUUCGGGGGUACUCGAGCGGCGAACGGGUGAGUAACACGUGAGUAAUCUGCCCUUGGCUUUGGGAUAACCACCGGAAACGGUGGCUAAUACCGGAUAUGACGCGCCCCGGCAUCGGGGUGUGUGGAAAGUUUUUUCGGCCAGGGAUGUGCUCGCGGCCUAUCAGCUUGUUGGUGGGGUAAUGGCCUACCAAGGCUUCGACGGGGAGCCGGCCUGGGAGGGUGACCGGCCACACUGGGGCUUGGAAACGGCCCAGGCUCCUGCGGGAGGCAGCGGUGGAGAAUAUUGGACAAUGGGCGGAAGCCUGAUCCAGCAACGCCGCGUUAGGGAUGACGGCCUUCGGGUUGUAAACCUCUUUCAGUACCGACGAAGCGCCGAUGAUGGUGGUGACGGUAGGUACAGAAGAAGCACCGGCCAACUACGUGCCGGCCGCCGCAGUAA
This 489-nucleotide ribosomal RNA is filed under the name uncultured bacterium. Its description in RNAcentral is "partial 16S ribosomal RNA". It matches the Rfam family "Bacterial small subunit ribosomal RNA", at positions 28 to 523 of the family's 1533-position model. The record is from RNAcentral.